This is a long non-coding RNA of Astatotilapia calliptera (eastern happy), 6341 nucleotides long. NCBI's taxonomy places the organism in Eukaryota, Metazoa, Chordata, Actinopteri, Cichliformes, Cichlidae. The record is from Ensembl.
UUUUCGCUGUAAAAUGAGCCAACAGGUUUUUCUGUUGCAGCGUGUUUACCGUCUUCAGCACACGCCCUGCUGCUCUUCACAGACACUGCAGCAUAUUUUCAGCUGAGAGACUCAAACACAGGCUUUGUGUUGUUUUCCUCUCUGGUUUUAAAUCUGUUAAACGCAGACUUUAAACUAAAUUUUCUUUUUAGAAGAAGCUUCCUGCUGCUUUGUGGGACCUCCAGCUGUUGCACUCUGCAUUGACCUGACCCUGACACGUGUGACUGUGCAGUGAUUCAUUGUCUGAACUGGUUUAGCCGUUGGGUGUGAAAAUCUGCCGGAGAAGAUGUUUGCUGCUGAAGCUAAAGCAUUUGUCCAGACGCUGGGAGGAACAGACCUCAUCUCUAAUGAUAACUUAAACUGUAAAAUGGAUCUGCUGACUCUGGUCAAAGUCACUGAGGGAAUUUUUUGGCCGGUACAGAAGUACAAAGUGAUACACUAUAGCCUGCCCGAGCUCACCGAGGAAGAAAACUUCUCUCCAGAUUACACCGAGGAAGUCUUGGUAGAGGACUUUAGGAUCACUACAGAGAAGAGUGGGAGUGGAGGUAUAGGUGGAGAAUGCAGUAAUGUGGGUGAAGCUUAUAUUAAUGCCAGCACUAGUUCUGUGGAUGGACUGGUUCAGCCCGUCAGCAUGAUGACAAAGAAGGCCAAUGUUAAAACUGUGGUGAGCAGAUUCAAGGGCAGGAAAAUACACAAGGAUACCUUGAACCUGCUGGGACUGAAAGAGAAGGAUAAACUGAUGUUUGUCUCUCAAAUAGUUUACAACUCCAGUCCUGUCAAAAUUAUUAGAAAGUCUACGACUGAUGGCUCCAUUUUCACUUCUUAUGUAAAGAUGCUGAGUGUCUUUGCAAAGGGGAGCAGUAAGGCGGAGACAAGCUUCACUGUGCCAGCAAAAUCCAUCUUUGCUUAUAGCCUGGUGGAGAUAAAGAUAGAGAAUGAGAAACUGAAGAUCUCAUGUGAGCCAUGGACUCGUAGUUUACUCGAUUGGCUCCUUUGUGAUGACGUAAGCAAUCCAACUGUGAAAAAAGUAAAAGAAGAACUAGAGAUGAAGGAAGCUCUACUGCAGCCGCUGGCAGAUCUUCCUGAGUCGACCCGUUGUGAUCUGCUGCAAACACUCAGCAAGCUCGUAGAGGAUGGAGACAAUCUCUCUCUGCUGGAUAAAACACUGGAUCAUUGCAGUAAUGGAGUGUUUGAGUGUGAGUCUGAGGCUGUCUCUUCCUUCAUGGACCUUCUCAAUGUCUCAAACAUCUCCACAAGUGAGCAGAAUGCUGUUCAUAUGUUGGUCAGCGCUCUGCACACUCUGCCAGAUGAAGUGCCGCCACUUCUGACCUGCUGCAGUCCAGACACUCUGAGAGUGCUCAAUCAGCUGGUGGAUGGUCUGAAGGACGGUCGGGCCAAACUGCCAGAGUCCCUGCCCGUCCCCCUGCAGGAGGGAGGGGAGCUCCGCUGGGCGGCCGAGUUCAUCUGUUUGAACGAUCAGAAGCUGAAAGAGUUGAGUGACGGCUGGGACCGGCCCGAGCUGCCCCCAGAGGUUCUGCUGGAGGUUCUGUGCCUCGCUGUGCAGGGACUCAGCCUGAUGCAGCCCACAACAAACCCUUAAUGUCAGCUGCUGUGAUCUUUGUUAAUGUGCUUUUACAGCAGCCGAUGCUUGUGAUGGUUCAGUGUCCAGUCAGGUGAAUACAGCAUAGUUUUGAUGUCCAUGGUUGAUUCAACAAUUGGUGAACUUUAUUUCAAUGUCUCACUCUGAUUUUGUUUCUUGUAUAACUCUGUCAUCUUUCAAAGAGACAAAAAGACAAAAAUAACCAACAGAAUUCACAUUUUAUUAAAGUAACAUACUUUUAUUAAGUUAUUUACAUUAUUGUUAUAGUUUAUGUCAUGGUUCCUGUAAUUUGAUGGUUUUCUUGGAUUCUUUGUGUUUGCAGACCCCACUUUAAUCAUCUGGUCUCCAACCUCUUCGUGUUCAUUUUGAGGUUUUUUUUUAACAAGUUCUUCAUAAAUACUUUUUAAAUUCCUGGUUAUUAAAGGUUUGAAAUUAUGUGAGGGAACAAGUGGAACAGUUUUUCUAUUAGAAUGAAAAAAGAAUGUUUAAAAACAUGAAUGAUGAUGCAUGAUUAAGGCUGGAAAUAAAGUUAAUACUUAGAGAAUAGUUGUAAUUUUGGGGGCAAGUCAGAAAAUCAUACACACUGUAUGGAACAUAUAACAAUUAGAAUGAGCUGCCUACCUAUAUCAUUUUUAGGAAAAUCUCAUCUUAAAUUCUGUAAUCCUAAAGUGUAUAUGCUAAACGCUGAUCUAAAAUGGGAUUGUGCUAAUGAGAGCUUAAUGUCAUGCUCAGAGGUAAAAACAGGGUCAACAAUGUAAAUGAUAUAACACAGUGAUGAGGUGUUACACCCUCUGUAACCCCUACUUGCCUUGUACUGAGUCUGAGCGUCUGGGUGUUGUUGAGGCAUAAUUGCUAAUUAUCUGCACCAGAUGAGGUGUGGCGGGUGGCAUGUCUGGGGAGAGUUUGGGGGAUGUUACUUCUAGCCUUGAAAGAAGGUUGUUAUUUUUGAUUGGAUGUUAUUUGGUCAUUUAAACUAAAAACCAAGGUUUCUGCAAAGUUUGGUAUCAGUAUCCACUUCAUGUUGCAGGUUCAUGUCCAGAUCCAAUGAUGAAGUAAUAUAGUAAAUAUAUGUUUGGCUCGAUGAACAUGCACGAAACAUUUUAUCAGAAUGAUGAAUCAUUUAAUUUUUGCUGGUUUCAGCAUAAAACACAUCUGAUAAGAAGCCUCAAUAAUGUCACAUACUUAAACUUAGGUUGGGCCAGGAGUGAUUGACCUGAUGAUCUUAACGCUCAGCGAGGAGUGUACAGAUUGAGAAGAUCAGUGAGAUAACUGACUGGGUGCAAUAUUAUUCUGAAUUUUGAAAGGGAGUAGCCAAAUUUUAAACUGACCGCAAUAUUUGAUAGGUAACCAAUUUAAUCAACAAGAGCUGGAGUGAUAGAAUCAAUUUUUCCAGCUCUGGCAAGAAGGUGAGCCGCAGGAUUCUGACAGUUGUAGCCUUUGAAGAGAGACGGAUUGGAGACUACAGUAAAGAGAAUUGCAAUAGUCACACCUGGAGGUCACAAAAGCAUGGAUCAGUUUUUCAAAGUCUCCUGUAUUGUAUAUAACGCUUAGCUUUAGAAAUCUGGCAUAGUUGAAAGAAGCUAGAUUUAACUACAGAUGACACUUUUUUGGGCUUAAAGGAGCUAUCCAAAUAGAUGCCCAGGUUAUUUAUAGAAUCAGAGAGAGAGUUAACAAGGGGCCCCAAUAGGGCAACAAGCUGUUCUUGAAGAAUAUAGAAUAGAAUAGAAUAGAAUUCAACUUUAUUGUCACUGCACAUGUCACAAGUACAAGUGCAACCCAGAGUAAAAUCUGUUUUACUAGAAUUUAGUAAUUUCCUGCACUUAUUUCCUGCCAUUGAACGCAUCACAAAUACAUGACUCCAACCACAUGACUUUGCUCAGCCGAUCGGCUAAUUGGCUGCUGCCAGUCCAAACAAUUUGAUUUAGAUUUUUGAUUUGACCGAUAGUUGUUGAAUAACAAAUGUUGUGAAGCUAUAUAUUAUGUGUAUCCGGUUGUUCAGUCUGACGUCACUAGCCGUGUCUGGGUCUAAACUCCGCUGCAGGUCCAUAUAUCAAACGAUCACUAUGGCAUUACUGAGAGUUGAAAAACUGUCUAAAGUCUUUCAUCUUUAAUAAAAUGAUCAGCGAUCUGCUCUACCAGGUGUAACAAUUGAGUUUAACAUUCAGGCAUCCAUGAAAACGGAAUUUAUGACAUUUAACGGAGUUAGAAGUUAGCAGGGAGUUAGCUCGCUAGCUUCUAUCUAAAUACAAUAUAGCAUGUCCUGACUGCAGGGUUUUGGAAACAAAUUAAAACGUACAGCUCUGCUAUCACUUCCAGCAUAAAUGAAGACAGAAAACUAAACAGCAGUGACGUUUGUAGGGUUACUGAAGUUUGGCUAGCUGGUAUAUAAUGAUGUGCUACGUGACCGCUAGCGACACAGCUAUGUUAGCAUAAUAUAAACAAGCUAACUUUUUUCCCCACUCGAUAAAAGUUAACGUGAGUGUUCUCGUGGUCAGGAACAAAUGUAAUCGCAUGGCAGGAUGCUGUAAAAGGACCAAACUUCAGCCAGGAGAACAACUGAGAUAAUCCAUCCACAAUACGAAGUUAGUCAUUCAUAUACUGCUGCAUGGGCUGGGCUGUAGUUACAUCCUAAGGUUUUAAAAACUGAGCUUAAAUAAAUGAUUAGCGGUAAUAAAAGCCGAGGGAGGUUAACAGUGAUCACUGACUGUUUUAGGAGCUUUUUAAGAUCAAAUAGAAGAAAAUACAUAACAUUAAACAUGUUAACAACACAAAAGCCAUAUUAAACGCAGACUACUUUAGACCCGGAAGUAGGAUUCGUCGCGUCAUCACUGAACAACCGGAUAGCAGUUGAAAUGUUUUAGUUAAAUCCUUAUUGGUUAAAUAUACUGUUUGUUUAUCUAUUUAUAAGUUGUGUAAACAGGAAUAACUUAAUGUAUUUUAGCUUAACUGGCUGACAUUUUUGUAUUAUUCUUGUGAUUUCUUAUUGGCCUUGUUUAUUUAAUGCAGGCCAGGUGAACCUUUUUGGGUAUGGAAAAGGAUGGCGAGCCAAUGAACGGCUAUAGGAGCAGGAAUCAUUCUGCAUUGAAGCUUCCACUGGUUGGGUAAGAAGCUAUCAAAGACGACGCUCUGUCCCCAUUUUCCGAAUACACUGAUUUCCACAAUCAUACACACCAUUCCCCCCGUUUAUGGACAAUAGCACUUGGACAUCUCUCAUGGCCAAUAUGACAAAGAAAUCACAUAUUUGCUUCAAAGGGGUUAAGUGUUCUAAAAUCAUGAAAUCACGAAAACUAGCUUAAUUGUUUUUUGACAUAGUAAAAAACAACAUGUAUCACUUUAGAUUUUAAGCUAAUUGGGCUGAAGGGUGUCUUGUUUCGAUUGGUAAACAGUUCUUAGCAAAUGUAUUUGUCCGCUCCUCAAUGAAAGUUUUAUCCCAAAUAUUGACAGUGUUGAUAAUUAAAGGAAUCCUUUUUGGGUUUUCUGUAAUGGUUAACUGAGCAGUAUAUGCAGGCUAUUUAAAUAAAAUAAUAUUUUUACUGCAAAAAUAUUAUUGAUGUUUUAUCCACAAUUUUUUUUAUUUACAUUUUUACAAAAUAGUCGGAAAAAUAGUCAAGCAUAUUAUUGUGCCUUGAGGCAAUUGCUGUUGUGAUUUGGUGAUAUAUAAAUAUAAUAAAAUAAAACUGAAUUCAGUUAUUAUUAUUAUCUUUAUUAAGAUGCCAAUUUAGAGUUAUUUACUUGCUUACUUGAUUGAUUUCUGAUUUCUCAGUGUGCCGGCUUAAUUUUGGGUAAAGAAACAUUAAUUCAGUUUGUCAAUUGCCUAAUAAAAAAACAACAAUUAUUGUGUUAAAAAGCUUUUGGCAUGUUUCUAAAAUAUUUGUAUUUUCAUGCAUUUACGACGGGUGGUCUAAUAAAUUUGCUCACUCCCGCACUUCAGGCAGGAGAUCUUGCAUGUUUAUGCAUUUACAGUGGCUUGAAAAAGUAUUUGAACUUUCCCACAUUUUGUCACAUUACAGCCACAACCAUGAAUCAAUUUUAUUGGAAUUCCACGUGAAAGACCAACACAAAGUGGUGUACACGUGAGAAGUGGAACGAAAAUCAUACAUGAUUCCAAACAUUUUUCCAAACAUUCCAAACAAAUAAAUAACUGAAAAGUGGGGUGUGUGUAAUUAUUCAGCCCCCUUUGGUCUGAGUGCAGUCAGUUCUCCAUAGACAUUGCCUGAUGAGUGCUAAUGACUAAAUAGAGUGCACCUGUGUGUGAUCUAAUGUCAGUAUAAAUACAGCUGCUCCAUGAUGACCUCAGAGGUUGUCUAAGUCAGGGAUAAAGUUAUUGAGAAAUUUAAAGCAGGCUUAGGCUACAAAAAGAUUUCCCAAGGCUUGAACAUCCCACGGAGCACUGUUCAAGCGAUCAUUCAGAAAUGAAAGGAGUAUGGCACAACUGUAAACCUACCAAGACGAGGCCGUCCACCUAAACUCACAGGCCGAACAAGGAGAGGGGUACAAGUGUGUGUGUACCUAACCUAAUAACACACCUAAUUGUGUGUCCACCACCCUAAUUUACGAAUAAAUUCUUUACAAAUCCUACCAUGUGAAUUCAUGGAUUUUUUUUUCACAUUCUGUCUCUCACAGUUGAAGUGUACCUCUGGUGCAAAUUACUGACCUCUGUCAUCAUUUUAAGUGGGGGAACUUGCACAAUCGGUGGCUGACU